GGCUUGUAAAAAUUACCGGUAGUUUUGAGGUUAAUGAACUUGUAAAACCUAACAAUGCCAAGGCGCUAGUCUUCUCCGCUGCCGCAGCGGCACUGCCUCCCCCUUCCUUCGACAGGAUCCCUUCCCUUUGUUUAAGCCACUCACCAUUUGGCUUGAGUUCUAUUCCUCCAAGGCUGGCCAGUCAUUUUGCUCUCUCUUGCCUCUCGAAUUUGGACUUAAUUUGGCAAAAACGACUACUUCAGGUUUGUUCCUUGUCUGCGGUUUCCCUUUUUAAUCACUGAAUUUGGUGAAAUUGGGCAAUUAUGGUUUUCAAUCUUCAUUUUCCUUGUUCUUCGAAUGGCAAAACAUCUCAUUAGUUAAUUAAAUCUUAGUUUUAUUUUAGUUUUUUUUGUCAUUCCCUUUUGUUUUGCUUUUAAUUUUGCCAUUUCUCACACACUGAGCGGAUUUGAUUCCAUAUGGCAACUUAUUACUUUCAUUAUUCUUGAAUCUCUUCUAGAAUAAAUCAAGCUAUAUUUUUCCUCCCUCUAUGAUUUGGUUUAAUGGAUCUGAGGCUGUGAAGAUACUGACUGCCAUUACAUAAGCUUUUUGGUCGCUUUAUUUUUCUUUGUAGUUUUGAGAAUGCUUUGAGAUGCUCAUACUUUAAUUUGGUUUUCCUUGAGUUUAUGUUGCGUUUUAUUGCGCAGAAUUAGGUGGUUGAAAGAAGGAUUGAGUUUAUGUGUUGAUUUGGUUACUAUUUGGAAAUUUAUGGACACUGCAAUACUCCAUUGUUAUUGACUUGUGAAGUUUUUGAAUUCCAUUGAAUUAGAAUCCUCAUAAAAUGAAAUUUGAAUAACUGAAUUGGGUUUUUAACUGAGUUGAAAAAAUUGCUAAUAACUUGUGGGAAAGUUAUCAGCUUGUUUCCUAGGGUUUCUGUUUUUCAAUUGUUUUUCUCAGUAGAAUUCUCUCAAAAAAAUUAAUUGCCACCUCUUUUAUAUGUUGGUUUUUUGGCUCCAUGAAUUUUGUUCAUCACAGGUUUUCUGUGUUGGGGAAUUUGCUAUUUGGUAUUUUGGGUUUGCGCAAAAUUUGGACACUCAAAUUGCUGGAAAAUCAAUACCUGCAAUAAAAUCCAUUGAAAAUUUACUUCUAAGGUCUUAAAAUUUUCUUUUUCUUCAUUGUUACUCUCUUUGUUUUCUCUAUUAUUUCCUUGUUUCUCAGUUAAAACUCUUGCUUUAUUUAUUUAUUUAUUUUCCCUCAAACUGAAACAUCAUAAACUCCAAUUUCACAAACUAAAGCUCAGAAGCAGCCAUGAUUAUACAAUAAUCAAUUCAUAAGCAAAUAAGUAUAACAAAUAGUGUAUAGUAUGCCAAAGUUGCGAAGCUUAAACCGAGUCUGCAUCUCUUUCCUUCACCUUCACCUGCAACCCACCUUUCAUUCUAAGAGUCAAAGACAACAAAUGCUCUGGACACUUCUCUUUGUUCUGUACAUCAAUCUCAAAUCUCUCUAUCACAGAUGCUGCUAUGGCUUUCAUCUGAAUAUAAGCCAUAUCUUUCCCAAGACACAUUCUUGGCCCUGCAUGAAACACCGGGAACUUGAAUGGGCUCUCUUGUCUGAAAAUCCCAUCCUCUUGCAGCCACCUUUCAGGCACGAACUCUCUGCAAUCCUUGCCCCAUAUGCUCUCCAUCCUCCCCAUUGCAUAUGUAUGGUAGGUUACAAACCAACCCUUUCCAACAAAUGUACCGUCCGGCAAACAAUCAUCACUUUUGCAAGCUUUGGUAUCCACAGGCACUGGAGGAUACAAUCUUAAUGUCUCUGAAAUUGCUGCAUGUAAAUAACGCAUGUCUCGGAAUUCUUCCAAACUAUAAUUAGUAUCGCCCCUGUUUUUUCCUUUUCGUGCUCUAAGGGCUCCAAGCUCGUUUAGUAUGUUUCUUUCUACAUGUGGGUUUAAUGAUAAUUGCCAAAAGAACCAGCUCAAAGCUGAAGAUGUGGUGUCUCGGCCUGCAAGAAUGAAGCUUAUAAUAAUAUCUCGGAGAAAUUCUGCUGAGUUAUCCUCAUUUCCAAUGAAACGGGAGAGUAAAUCUUCGUCUUUCUUGUCAGUUCCAUGUUCCAUUCUUGACUUUAUAAUCUCAUCUGCGAAUUCAUGGACGAUCUUAAUCGAUUUUUUGAGUGCUUUCUCUGUUCCCAAGUUAAAGAACUUACUGAAUUUCCAUAAGAGUGGAACGGCAUACAUGAAUCUCCCUGAACUAAGCGUGGCAGCUUCUUCAAAGGCGCGCAUAAACUCACCGCCGGCGGUUCCAUCGCCACCGAGACAGCCGGGAUCAACGUUAAAAGCAAGUUUACAUAUGUUAUCAAACGCAAACCUCUCUAGCAGCUCUUGAAAAUCCAGUACUUGGUUCGUUUUCGAGGCUCUUGAAAAGAUUGGGAACAAUCUUGAUGAAAUCUCUAUCCUGACAUUAUCCAUAACGAAAUUUCGUAGUGACUUGGUGUUGAACUCGUAGCUAGCAGUCUUUCUUUGGACUCUCCACAGCUCCCCAUCGGAGUUAAAGAUUCCUCGACCGAGGAAAUCUUCAAGAAGGGAUAUGAACCGGUCGCCUUUUGGGUAAUUGUCAAAGUUAGUCUUGAGAAUAUACUCAACGUUUAAAGGAUUUGCUGUGAUGACUCCAUGGACUUUGCCAGGACGGCGGAAGACGGCGGUGUUGGCGGGGCAUUGGCCAAGUAUUUCAGUUGUCCAGUCGAGGAAACGGUGACGAUUUCUCAAGAACUCAGGUAAAGCUCCUACUAUAGGAUAGAUUUUGAAGCCUUUCUUGGUGAGUUUGUUCUGUGAAGUGUAAAGAAGGUAGAAGUAGAGACAAACAGAAAGAAAGGGAAGUAACAGAAUAAAUUGAAGGGAUAAGGAUUCCAUGGUUAGAGAAGAAAGUGAAAGGAAAGGUCUAAUUUAAUUUUGCAGUGUAAUGACUGAUUUGGUUUGUGGGGUAGUAUUCUGUAAUGAAUUUCUUGUAAGAUAUGCUUUGCAGCCUGCGCUGUAUGGAGAUAAAGUAGGAGAUAUCAUUUCAGCUGCAGACCAUGAGGUUCUAGAAAAUAAAUAAAUGAAAGUAGCAAUGUUAAUUAACGAUGCUGGUUUAU
RNAcentral lists this unclassified non-coding RNA (3099 nucleotides) under Hevea brasiliensis (rubber tree). Lineage: Eukaryota; Viridiplantae; Streptophyta; Magnoliopsida; Malpighiales; Euphorbiaceae. The record is from RNAcentral.